AGAGUUUGAUCCUGGCUCAGAACGAACGUUGGCGGCGUGGAUGAGGCAUGCAAGUCGAGCGUGAAAGCUCCCUUCGGGGAGUGAGUAAAGCGGCGGACGGGUGAGUAACACGUAAUCGAGCUGCCCCCGAGCCGGGGAUAACCGCGGGAAACUGCGGCUAAUACCGGAUGGUCUUGUGCGGUCGCAUGGCUGCACAUGUAAAGGCUGGGAUCCUUCGGGACCUGCCGCUCGGGGAGGCGAUUGCGGCCUAUCAGCUUGUUGGUGAGGUAACGGCUCACCAAGGCGACGACGGGUAGCAGGCCUGAGAGGGUGGUCUGUCACACUGGGACUGAGACACUGCCCAGACUCCUACGGGAGGCUGCAGUCGAGAAUCUUCCGCAAUGGGCGAAAGCCUGACGGAGCGACGCCGCGUGGAGGACGAAGGCCUUUGGGUUGUAAACUCCUGUCACGGGUUAUGAAUGCGUAGCGGUUAAUAGCCGUUGCGUUGACGUAUGCUCGAGAGGAAGCACCGGCUAACUCUGUGCCAGCAGCCGCGGUAAUACAGAGGGUGCAAACGUUGUUCGGAAUCACUGGGCAUAAAGCGCACGUAGGCGGCCUUGUCAGUGUGGA
This 609-nucleotide ribosomal RNA is filed under the name uncultured bacterium. RNAcentral describes it as "bacterial SSU rRNA". It matches the Rfam family "Bacterial small subunit ribosomal RNA", at positions 8 to 593 of the family's 1533-position model. The record is from RNAcentral.